RNAcentral lists this ribosomal RNA (923 nucleotides) under uncultured Campylobacterota bacterium. RNAcentral describes it as "bacterial SSU rRNA". It matches the Rfam family "Bacterial small subunit ribosomal RNA", at positions 335 to 1273 of the family's 1533-position model. Lineage: Bacteria; Pseudomonadati; Campylobacterota. The record is from RNAcentral.
ACUCCUACGGGAGGCAGCAGUGAGGAAUAUUGCACAAUGGAGGAAACUCUGAUGCAGCAACGCCGCGUGGAGGAUGACGCAUUUCGGUGUGUAAACUCCUUUUAUAUGUCAAGAAAAUGACGGUAGCAUAUGAAUAAGCACCGGCUAACUCCGUGCCAGCAGCCGCGGUAAUACGGAGGGUGCAAGCGUUAUUCGGAAUCACUGGGCGUAAAGGACGCGUAGGCGGGUUGGAAAGUCAGAUGUGAAAUCCUACAGCUUAACUGUAGAACUGCAUUUGAAACUUCUAAUCUAGAGUAUGGGAGGGGGAGAUGGAAUUAGUGGUGUAGGGGUAAAAUCCGUAGAUAUCACUAGGAAUACCGAAAGCGAAGGCGAUCUCCUGGAACAUAACUGACGCUAAGGCGUGAAAGCGUGGGGAGCAAACAGGAUUAGAUACCCUGGUAGUCCACGCCCUAAACGAUGAACACUAGUCGUCGGGAUGCUAGUCAUCUCGGUGAUGCACUUAACAGAUUAAGUGUUCCGCCUGGGGAGUACGGUCGCAAGAUUAAAACUCAAAGGAAUAGACGGGGACCCGCACAAGUGGUGGAGCAUGUGGUUUAAUUCGAAGAUACGCGAAGAACCUUACCUAGCCUUGACAUUGAUUGAACCUGCCAGAGAUGGCGGGGUGCCCUUCGGGGAACAUGAAAACAGGUGCUGCACGGCUGUCGUCAGCUCGUGUCGUGAGAUGUUGGGUUAAGUCCCGCAACGAGCGCAACCCUCGUCCUUAGUUGCUAGCAGGUUAAGCUGAGCACUCUAAGGAGACUGCCUUCGUAAGGAGGAGGAAGGUGAGGACGACGUCAAGUCAUCAUGGCCCUUAUGGCUAGGGCUACACACGUGCUACAAUGGGGGCGUACAGAGUGUUGCGAUACCGCGAGGUGGAGCUAAUC